GAUGAACGCUGGCGGCGUGCCUAACACAUGCAAGUCGAGCGAAGCACCUUACUUGAUUUCUUCGGGAUGAAAGUAUUGUGACUGAGCGGCGACGGGUGAAGUAACGCGUGGAUAACCUGCCUCGUACAGGGGGAUAACAGUUAGAAAUGACUGCUAAUACCGCAUAAGACCACAGCACCGCAUGGUGCAGGGGUAAAAACUCCGGUGGUAUGAGAUGGAUCCGCGUCUGAUUAGCUAGUUGGUAAGGUAACGGCUUACCAAGGCAACGAUCAGUAGCCGACCUGAGAGGACGACCAGCCACACUGGGACUGAGGCACGGCCCAAA
RNAcentral lists this ribosomal RNA (325 nucleotides) under uncultured bacterium. RNAcentral describes it as "bacterial SSU rRNA". It matches the Rfam family "Bacterial small subunit ribosomal RNA", at positions 28 to 335 of the family's 1533-position model. The record is from RNAcentral.